GGGCCCGCACAAGCGGUGGAGUAUGUGGUUUAAUUCGAUGCAACGCGAAGAACCUUACCAGGGUUUGACAUCCUGCGAAUCUCUUGGAAACGAGAGAGUGCCUUCGGGAACGCAGUGACAGGUGGUGCAUGGCUGUCGUCAGCUCGUGUCGUGAGAUGUUGGGUUAAGUCCCGCAACGAGCGCAACCCACGUCGUUAGUUGCCAGCAUUUAGUUGGGCACUCUAGCGAGACCGCCGGUGAUAAACCGGAGGAAGGUGUGGAUGACGUCAAGUCAUCAUGCCCCUUACAUCCUGGGCUACACACGUACUACAAUGGGGGCGUACAAAGGGUUGCAAUCCCGCGAGGGGGAG
This 350-nucleotide ribosomal RNA is filed under the name uncultured bacterium. Its description in RNAcentral is "bacterial SSU rRNA". It matches the Rfam family "Bacterial small subunit ribosomal RNA", at positions 917 to 1267 of the family's 1533-position model. The record is from RNAcentral.